UGGGGUGUGGGGUAACGGCAGCCCGCAGGCCUUUGGAGCCUCGCAGUCCAGGUUCGAAUCCUGGCACCCCAGCCA
Molecule: transfer RNA, 75 nt
Filed under: Dactylosporangium aurantiacum
Lineage: Bacteria; Bacillati; Actinomycetota; Actinomycetes; Micromonosporales; Micromonosporaceae
Also listed under: 13 other names
Description: tRNA-Gln
Rfam family: tRNA
About the family: Transfer RNA (tRNA) molecules are approximately 80 nucleotides in length. Their secondary structure includes four short double-helical elements and three loops (D, anti-codon, and T loops).
Source: RNAcentral